This is a non-coding RNA of Sphagnurus paluster, 88 nucleotides long. Lineage: Eukaryota; Fungi; Basidiomycota; Agaricomycetes; Agaricales; Lyophyllaceae. The record is from the annotation of a GenBank genome assembly.
GCAUUGAUGAUGUAACGGUAACAUCGGGUCUUCCCAUCCUCUACGGAUCUGCUUGGCCCGUCCCCGGGUUCGACUCCCGGUCAAUGCA